UUGAUAUAUGAAAUAACAUUUGUUUGUGAACUUGACACGAUAUGUAUGAGAUUAUGGCACUGGAUAGAGGUGAUGAACUGCCGCAGGUGAUGAUGGCGCUAACGCGAGACGGGCAACUCUACCCGAGCCUCGCUAAAGGUUGAAAAGAGGUGAACAGCUGGGUUGAAAAGAGGGAACAGUGGUCAGAAGGGU
Long non-coding RNA from Helianthus annuus (common sunflower), 192 nucleotides. RefSeq lists it as uncharacterized. The record is from RefSeq and is a predicted model, not a curated record. Lineage: Eukaryota; Viridiplantae; Streptophyta; Magnoliopsida; Asterales; Asteraceae. The transcript is spliced from 2 exons.